GGGGAAUAUUGCACAAUGGGCGAAAGCCUGAUGCAGCAACGCCGCGUGAGCGAUGAAGGCCUUCGGGUCGUAAAGCUCUGUCCUCAAGGAAGAUAAUGACGGUACUUGAGGAGGAAGCCCCGGCUAACUACGUGCCAGCAGCCGCGGUAAUACGUAGGGGGCUAGCGUUAUCCGGAAUUACUGGGCGUAAAGGGUGCGUAGGCGGUCUUUCAAGCCAGAAGUGAAAGGCUACGGCUCAACCGUAGUAAGCUUUUGGAACUGUAAGACUUGAGUGCAGGAGAGGAGAGUGGAAUUCCUAGUGUAGCGGUGAAAUGCGUAGAUAUUAGGAGGAACACCAGUAGCGAAGGCGGCUCUCUGGACUGUAACUGACGCUGAGGCACGAAAGCGUGGGGAGCAAAC
This 399-nucleotide ribosomal RNA is filed under the name uncultured bacterium. RNAcentral describes it as "bacterial SSU rRNA". It matches the Rfam family "Bacterial small subunit ribosomal RNA", at positions 356 to 773 of the family's 1533-position model. The record is from RNAcentral.